AUUGAACGCUGGCGGCAGGCCCAACACAUGCAAGUCGAACGGAUGAAGGGAGCUUGCUCCUGGAUUCAGCGGCGGACGGGUGAGUAAUGCCUAGGAAUCUGCCUGGUAGUGGGGGAUAACGUCCGGAAACGGGCGCUAAUACCGCAUACGUCCUGAGGGAGAAAGUGGGGGAUCUUCGGACCUCACGCUAUCAGAUGAGCCUAGGUCGGAUUAGCUAGUUGGUGGGGUAAAGGCCUACCAAGGCGACGAUCCGUAACUGGUCUGAGAGGAUGAUCAGUCACACUGGAACUGAGACACGGUCCAGACUCCUACGGGAGGCAGCAGUGGGGAAUAUUGGACAAUGGGCGAAAGCCUGAUCCAGCCAUGCCGCGUGUGUGAAGAAGGUCUUCGGAUUGUAAAGCACUUUAAGUUGGGAGGAAGGGCAGUAAGUUAAUACCUUGCUGUUUUGACGUUACCAACAGAAUAAGCACCGGCUAACUUCGUG
RNAcentral lists this ribosomal RNA (484 nucleotides) under uncultured bacterium. Its description in RNAcentral is "partial 16S ribosomal RNA". It matches the Rfam family "Bacterial small subunit ribosomal RNA", at positions 30 to 507 of the family's 1533-position model. The record is from RNAcentral.